GCUAGACGAGCGGGAUGGCACAGCCAGAGCUGUUGUUAUGCUCAUAGCAGAAUACUGCUCAGUGAGCAGAGAUAGUCAGUGCGUUCAAAAAGUUCUUGAGCGAAUUGCUUCUGGGAAUGUUUUGCAGCGAAGAAAUGCUAUUGAUAGGCCAAACUGAUACAAAGAGAUGGUACUUUCAAACUUUCUGGUGGACCAAUGUAAAAUGC
Carya illinoinensis is the source of this 206-nucleotide long non-coding RNA. RefSeq lists it as uncharacterized. The record is from RefSeq and is a predicted model, not a curated record. NCBI's taxonomy places the organism in Eukaryota, Viridiplantae, Streptophyta, Magnoliopsida, Fagales, Juglandaceae. The transcript is spliced from 3 exons.